CGGAUUGCAGUCUGCAACUCGACUGCAUGAAGCUGGAAUCGCUAGUAAUCGCGGAUCAGAAUGCCGCGGUGAAUACGUUCCCGGGUCUUGUACACACCGCCCGUCACACCAUGGGAGUCGGAUAUGCCCGAAGUCAGUGACCCAACCGCAAGGAGGGAGCUGCCGAAGGUGGAGCCGAUGACUGGGGUGAAGUCGUAACAAGGUAUC
Molecule: ribosomal RNA, 207 nt
Filed under: uncultured bacterium
Lineage: Bacteria
Description: partial 16S ribosomal RNA
Rfam family: Bacterial small subunit ribosomal RNA
Source: RNAcentral